RNAcentral lists this ribosomal RNA (324 nucleotides) under Klebsiella pneumoniae. RNAcentral describes it as "partial 23S ribosomal RNA". It matches the Rfam family "Bacterial large subunit ribosomal RNA", at positions 419 to 747 of the family's 2925-position model. Lineage: Bacteria; Pseudomonadati; Pseudomonadota; Gammaproteobacteria; Enterobacterales; Enterobacteriaceae. The record is from RNAcentral.
GGGACACGUGGUAUCCUGUCUGAAUAUGGGGGGACCAUCCUCCAAGGCUAAAUACUCCUGACUGACCGAUAGUGAACCAGUACCGUGAGGGAAAGGCGAAAAGAACCCCGGCGAGGGGAGUGAAAAAGAACCUGAAACCGUGUACGUACAAGCAGUGGGAGCACCUUCGGGUGUGACUGCGUACCUUUUGUAUAAUGGGUCAGCGACUUAUAUUCUGUAGCAAGGUUAACCGUAUAGGGGAGCCGCAGGGAAACCGAGUCUUAACUGGGCGUUAAGUUGCAGGGUAUAGACCCGAAACCCGGUGAUCUAGCCAUGGGCAGGUUG